RNAcentral lists this ribosomal RNA (468 nucleotides) under uncultured bacterium. Its description in RNAcentral is "partial 16S ribosomal RNA". It matches the Rfam family "Bacterial small subunit ribosomal RNA", at positions 28 to 507 of the family's 1533-position model. The record is from RNAcentral.
GACGAACGCUGGCGGCGUGCUUAACACAUGCAAGUCGAACGGAAAGGCCCUGCUUUUGUGGGGUGCUCGAGUGGCGAACGGGUGAGUAACACGUGAGUAACCUGCCCUUGACGUUGGGAUAACUUCAGGAAACUGGGGCUAAUACCGGAUAGGAGCUCCUGCUGCAUGGUGGGGGUUGGAAAGUUUCGGCGGUUGGGGAUGGACUCGCGGCUUAUCAGCUUGUUGGUGGGGUAGUGGCUUACCAAGGCUUUGACGGGUAGCCGGCCUGAGAGGGUGACCGGCCACAUUGGGACUGAGAUACGGCCCAGACUCCUACGGGAGGCAGCAGUGGGGAAUAUUGCACAAUGGGCGGAAGCCUGAUGCAGCAACGCCGCGUGCGGGAUGACGGCCUUCGUGUUGUAAACCGCUUUCGCCUGUGACGAAGCGUGAGUGACGGUAAUGGGUAAAGAAGCACCGGCUAACUACGUG